RNAcentral lists this long non-coding RNA (345 nucleotides) under Salvia miltiorrhiza (redroot sage). RNAcentral's name for it is "long non-coding RNA (SMIL_LNC014053)". The record is from RNAcentral. Lineage: Eukaryota; Viridiplantae; Streptophyta; Magnoliopsida; Lamiales; Lamiaceae.
UUUAAUGUUAUUAUUACAAACCCAAAAUGUAUUUAAUAAAAAAGGGAAAAAGAAAGCAUAACCGAAAAACCAUAAAACACAGUCCUUGAUAACUCCAUAUCUCGAAAGCAUAUACCGCGUUGUCUCUCUCUCUCUCUGCGUCUGCGUGUUAUGCAAUAAUCGGCACUGUAGAAAGCGACGUCUUCUCUCUCUCUCCAAACUUUUCAAAAAGUUCCACCUCCUUCUUCUCAAUCAUUUCUUUCUCUCACUAGAAUUGUCUUCCAAUCCACGCCUCCAUCGAUUCGCAAUUCUCCCGAUUCUCGAUUUGCAUCUCAGUCCAUGUCCGAUUGGAAGAAUCAGGAAAUG